RNAcentral lists this transfer RNA (76 nucleotides) under Bacillota bacterium. Its description in RNAcentral is "Firmicutes bacterium (anaerobic digester metagenome) tRNA-Phe". It matches the Rfam family "tRNA". From Rfam's summary of the family: Transfer RNA (tRNA) molecules are approximately 80 nucleotides in length. Lineage: Bacteria; Bacillati; Bacillota. The record is from RNAcentral.
GCCGAGAUAGCUCAGUCGGUAGAGCAGAGGACUGAAAAUCCUCGUGUCCCCCGUUCGAUUCGGGGUCUCGGCACCA